CGAGACGACGCUGGCGGCGUGGAUUAGGCAUGCAAGUCGGACGGUAGGGCUUUAUCGUAAGAUAGAGUUUGAGAGUGGCGAACGGGUGAGUAACACGUAGGAAUCUACCCUUAAGACGGGGACAACCCAGGGAAACUUGGGCUAAUACCGGAUGUGAGCAACUUUUAGUUGUUUGAAAGGUGGCGUAAGCUGUCGCUUGGGGAUGAGCCUGCGUCCUAUUAGUUAGUUGGUGAGGUAACGGCUCACCUAGGCAAUGAUAGGUAGGCGGCCUUAACGGGUGGUCGCCCACACUGGGAUUGAGAUACGGCCCAGACUCCUACGGGAGGCAGCAGUCGAGAAUAGUCUACAAUGGUCGGAAGACUGAUAGUGCGACGCCGCGUGAACGAUGAAUCCCUUCGGGGUGUAAAGUUCUUUUAUACGUGAGCAGUGUCCUUUAUAUUAAUAGUAUAAGGGGAGAGAUAUUAGCGUAUGAAUAAGCAACGGCUAACUCCGUG
This 494-nucleotide ribosomal RNA is filed under the name uncultured bacterium. RNAcentral's name for it is "bacterial SSU rRNA". It matches the Rfam family "Bacterial small subunit ribosomal RNA", at positions 33 to 507 of the family's 1533-position model. The record is from RNAcentral.